UGGGGAAUUUUCCGCAAUGGGCGAAAGCCCUGACGGAGCAAUGCCGCGUGGAGGUGGAAGGCCUACGGGUCGUCAACUUCUUUUCUCGGAGAAGAAACAAUGACGGUAUCUGAGGAAUAAGCAUCGGCUAACUCUGUGUCAG
This 142-nucleotide ribosomal RNA is filed under the name uncultured bacterium. RNAcentral describes it as "partial 16S rRNA". It matches the Rfam family "Bacterial small subunit ribosomal RNA", at positions 355 to 511 of the family's 1533-position model. The record is from RNAcentral.